Molecule: transfer RNA, 73 nt
Filed under: Canis lupus familiaris (dog)
Lineage: Eukaryota; Metazoa; Chordata; Mammalia; Carnivora; Canidae
Also listed under: 3 other names
Rfam family: tRNA
About the family: Transfer RNA (tRNA) molecules are approximately 80 nucleotides in length. Their secondary structure includes four short double-helical elements and three loops (D, anti-codon, and T loops). Further hydrogen bonds mediate the characteristic L-shaped molecular structure. tRNAs have two regions of fundamental functional importance: the anti-codon, which is responsible for specific mRNA codon recognition, and the 3' end, to which the tRNAs corresponding amino acid is attached (by aminoacyl-tRNA synthetases). tRNAs cope with the degeneracy of the genetic code in two manners: having more than one tRNA (with a specific anti-codon) for a particular amino acid; and 'wobble' base-pairing, i.e. permitting non-standard base-pairing at the 3rd anti-codon position.
Source: Rfam by way of RNAcentral
ACCUGGCUGGCUCAGUCAACAGAGCAUGUGACUCUUGAUCUCAGGGUUGUGGGUUUGAGCCCCACAUUGGGUA